RNAcentral lists this ribosomal RNA (253 nucleotides) under uncultured bacterium. Its description in RNAcentral is "partial 16S ribosomal RNA". It matches the Rfam family "Bacterial small subunit ribosomal RNA", at positions 524 to 776 of the family's 1533-position model. The record is from RNAcentral.
UACGUAGGGUGCGAGCGUUAAUCGGAAUUACUGGGCGUAAAGGGUCCGCAGGCGGAAAGAUAAGUCAGUGGUGAAAUCUCCCAGCUCAACUGGGAAACUGCCAUUGAUACUGUUUUUCUUGAAUUUGGUCGGAGUGGGCGGAAUGUGUCAUGUAGCGGUGAAAUGCAUAGAUAUGACACAGAACACCGAUAGCGAAGGCAGCUCACUAGACCUGAAUUGACGCUCAUGGACGAAAGCGUGGGGAGCGAACAGG